AACCUCCGCAAUGUGAGAAAUCGCGACGGGGGGAUCCCAAGUGCCAUUCUUAACGGGAUGGCUUUUCAUUAGUGUAAAGAGCUUUUGGAAUAAGAGCUGGGCAAGACCGGUGCCAGCCGCCGCGGUAACACCGGCAGCUCUAGUGGUAACAAUUUUUAUUGGGCCUAAAGCGUCCGUAGCCGGUUUAAUAAGUCUCUGGUGAAAUCCUGUAGCUUAACUGUGGGAAUUGCUGGAGAUACUAUUAGACUUGAGACCGGGAGAGGUUAGAGGUACUCCCAGGGUAGAGGUGAAAUUCUGUAAUCCUGGGAGGACCGCCUGUUGCGAAGGCGUCUAACUGGAACGGUUCUGACGGUGAGGGACGAAAGUUAGGGGCGCGAACCGGAUUAGAUACCCGGGUAGUCCUAACUGUAAACGAUGCGGACUUGGUGUUGGGGUGCUUUGAGCUGCUUCAGUGCCGAAGGGAAGCUGUUAAGUCCGCCGCCUGGGAAGUACGGUCGCAAGACUGAAACUUAAGGAAUU
RNAcentral lists this ribosomal RNA (519 nucleotides) under uncultured bacterium. RNAcentral's name for it is "bacterial SSU rRNA". It matches the Rfam family "Archaeal small subunit ribosomal RNA", at positions 345 to 866 of the family's 1478-position model. The record is from RNAcentral.